Molecule: long non-coding RNA, 3605 nt
Organism: Tachysurus vachellii
Lineage: Eukaryota; Metazoa; Chordata; Actinopteri; Siluriformes; Bagridae
Exons: 2
Source: RefSeq, a predicted model, not a curated record
GUUCUGUGUAUAUUUAUUUGGUAACGUUUUGGAUUCUGGGAAUGAAAUGGAAGCCACAGUGAGAGCAUCAUGAGCGCUGCAGCCUGGACUGUUGCAGUCAGUGAAAAUCGCUUGUUUUUAAUCAGGGCCACUGGGGGCGACGACAAACGCUGAGCUAUUAAUAACAUUCCACCAUUACAGGUUUCAUGUUGGUACACAAUAUUUGUCAAGCUUUUCAUGGAGGCCAUCGCUUUAAGAAGCUGAAAAUUCUCCGAAUUUGCUCAAGAACCCUUUAGAUUGUUAGGUAACCUCGUAAACAUCAAUAACAACCUCUAAACAUAGUUAAAUGUCAAGAGAUGGUGAGUUUCAAUCCUGAUGUUGUCACUGUCAUCCACCUUUGUUGAUAUACAGCAUUACUUCUUGCCUGUACCGUGUUUGAUUGGCUGUUUGAAAUAGCAUCACCUCUGUGAAUUUUUAUGCUAAAAAAAAAGAAAAUGUCCAUGAAAUGCUCUUAUCUAACAGUCAGGUUGUAGCUUUUUAAGUUUCAGCUAAGAAUGUGAGUUUGUGUAUAUUUUAUAAUGUAUAGUGAGACGUUUCAUUGUUUACUCUCUAUAUUAUUUUCUUGUAUAGUUUUUGUCUGAUGCUCCACCAGGCCAAUAGAGGGCAAUAAAGAGCGAACAACAUUUAGUCAUUACCCAAUACAUGGAAGGUCCGAUUGCCCCGAGCUCAUGUGUACCGCCCAUAUAGCUGUACAUGGUGUUUACUUCAGUGAAGCGUCACUUUACCAGCUUCAGCUUUUUGCCUUAAUUUAGCAUCAGAUGAAGAACCAGCAUCACGGUCUGUGAUGAUCUACUGCGCACUUGAUUUGACUGCGAGUGUCCUGUAUUUAUAUCACCUUAGGAGGGACAACUAAAAUGUUAGAAUUUAUAAACUUUUUUUUUUAACUUAAUCAUAUGUCUUGCACUUUGCCACAUUCCUGAUUUGCAUAUUUUUGCUACUCAUUAGGUUCUGCACUUGAAACCUGUAGAGAAUUUUACUUGUCUUCUUAUCGUCUUAAUCAUUAUUGCUGCUAUGGCUGUGUUUCUAUGUGACCUUAUCAAACCUUUUUUACUACCUUUUGUUUACAUCUCAUUUGUGUCAAUGGCAGUUUCGUUACUUUCUAUUUAUUUUCCUUCCUUUUGAUGGAGCGAUGUCACACUUCAGACGUCGCGUGAGCUGGUUUUGUUCCUGUGCUAGUUUGCAAGUCACCAUUUUAAAAAACUACGGUUAGAUUUGUGGUAUUUAAGUAACAGAUUUAGGUGACGUUACUGUACGCAUUGCUUUCUUUACUGUCUGCUAUUUAACAUGUAGGAUAACGUUUGAGCUGAUGCUGGUCUGUGAGGAGGAAGUCGGGACGCUCCGGUUUGGCGUGGCGGAUGUGUUAAUUACAGUACAGAACACAAUUAUGACACACAAUGUUAAACAAUUAUGAUGUCUUACAGCAUUACAUGAGUCAGCUUUUAGUUUUUACCUCACACUGUGUGUUAGCGGCAGUUUGUGUUACAUUGUUACCUUGAACCCAUCACUUCUACACAAGGAGAAGAAAUCCCCUUUGUCUCAUUAUUCAGAGAUUCAUGUUAUUACAAGAACAAUCUCACUACUGCAAAAAAAAUUUCACGAGAAAACAUGUUUUUAUCAGAAAGCAUGUUAUUAUGAGAGAGAGAAAUCUGUUGAGAAAACGUUAUAGUUUUUAUAUUGAGAUGUGGGAGAAUUUCUCAUGAGAAUCAUAUGUUUUCCUGCAGUAAUGCAUUGAUUUUCUCGUGAAAAUACAUUUUGAUUUUUUUUUUUUUUUAAGCGUAGCGAGCUGCUUCUCUUGUAAUUAAGCUUUAUUGCUGAUAAUAAUGAGAUGCUAACGUUCUCGCUUUUUUCCCCCCUGUGUAGCAAAACCACUUUUGUAUGCAAUUCUUGUUCUUGGUUUUCAUUUUUUCAACUGCACAUGAAUGUGUGAGAAACAGCUUUAUUCUGUUGUACAGAAGUUUUCAUACUCAUCAAAUGAUUAAUCUGAGUGACUGUAAAUACGACAUUCCUUCUGUGUGUCUGAGCGAGUGUGUGCGUGUGGGUGUUGAAGAGUGAGUGUUGCUGAGUGAGUGACAAAGUGAGUGUGUGAGCGGUGCGGAGUGUGUAGUGCACUCACAUUAUUGUCACUUAAAUAUCUCAUAUAAUUCAUAAGCAUCAAAGUGAAGUAUCUUUAAUCCAGUCAUUUGAUUUUUCUUUUUUUAACAUUUGAUUUCAAACAGCUGUGACUUUAUGGAGGUUUUUAUAAAAAAAAAAAAAAAAAAAAAAAAAAGUGACUUGAGAUACUUCUCAGGCUCUUCUUAGUUUUUUUUCUUCUGUCCUUAAAUCUCAGGCUCAAGAUUUACUGUUUGUUCUUCAGAUUUCAGCACAAAAUGAGUUCAGCGUCUGUAUUUUUUCAACAAUAUGACGACUCAACAUGUUAAACAUCUCUGUUCCAAUGAAAACAUUGCCAUUAUGAUUAAAUGAAAUCGAUCACAUGUUAAACGAGUCAGUGUUACACAGAGAGCAACACUAGCGCUCGAUCAUGUGAUCAUCAAACGGAUGGUGAGAGUAGAUUUAAAAAUUAUUUGUUAAAAAAAUCUACCUCUGUGAGCAAAAAUGUACAGAUUGCUGCACCAAUAAAAUGUUUAUACUGAGAUCAAAAGAACAGAAUAGAAACUCGUGACUUCUGAAGAUUUCAGGAGUGUUGCCAUUAUAUGUUACUAAUAAGCAGCUGCAUUUCAGUCCUUCUUCAAACCGUCAUGUGUUAAGUUACAGUUGAAAAACUCAUACGUCAAAUUUCGUUCGAAAUCCUUUUACACUCCAAAUGAAAGAAUCUAGCUUGUGGGGACAAUAUUCAGCUUACAGUUCUGGCGCUAAACCACCUUGAAGCGUUUUUGAGACUUUUGAGAUGUGUCUUCUGCUACAGUGAACAAGUCCAAAGAAGUUCCUGCCUGUGUGUGACUGUGUGACUGUGUGAGUGUGUGUGUGUGUGUGUGUGUGUGUGUGAGUGAGUGAGUGAGUGAGUGAGUGAGUGUCUGUCUGUGACUGAGUGAGUGAGUGAGUGAGUGUCUGUGACGUGAGUGAGUGUCUGUCUGUGACUGAGUGAGUGAGUGUCUGUCUGUGACUGAGUGAGUGAGUGUCUGUCUGUGACUGAGUGAGUGAGUGAGUGUCUGUCUGUGACUGAGUGAGUGAGUGAGUGAGUGAGUGUCUGUCUGUGACUGAGUGAGUGAGUGUCUGUCUGUGACUGAGUGAGUGAGUGUCUGUCUGUGACUGAGUGAGUGAGUGUCUGUCUGUGACUUAGUGUGUGUGUUAGUGUCUGUCUGUGACUUAGUGUGUGUGUUAGUCUGUCUGUGACUGAGUGUGUGUUUGUGUCUGAAGCCAGCCUAAAUGUGCCAGAUAUGUUUUAAAAAAAGGGAAAUUGAUCAUGUUGAUGCUUUUGUGAAAUAAAUUAAAGUCUGUAAAGAUCAUAAUCUAUAAUAUAUUGAAGUCUAUAAGUCUCAGUAUAUUGCAUUAUAUAUUUUGCUUUGCAUGUGUUAGCAGGAUUGCACAGCAAGAUGUGGAUUGCAAUAAAAAGAUAAAAAAUACAAAAA